RNAcentral lists this RNase MRP RNA (237 nucleotides) under Entamoeba histolytica. Its description in RNAcentral is "RNase MRP". It matches the Rfam family "RNase MRP". Rfam says of the family: RNase MRP is an enzymatically active ribonucleoprotein with two distinct roles in eukaryotes. The record is from Rfam by way of RNAcentral. Lineage: Eukaryota; Evosea; Mastigamoebida; Endamoebidae.
UGGAAGUUACAAGGUUUGGAGUAGGAGUUUGAUAGUCUCAUUUCAACUAUUAAAAAUUCCUGGGAAAUUCCUCGAACCAUUAGAUAGAAAGUAUCAAUCCUAAGUGGAUGAGGAAUAUGUUUGAUUGUCCGGACGUUGAUCUGUUUGGAGAGUCCUAUGUUCAAUUAAACUAUUCCUUCGUUGUAGGUACAGUAAUCCAAACAAGAAUAACUUAAUGAGGGUCACUCUGUGACUUCC